RNAcentral lists this unclassified non-coding RNA (245 nucleotides) under air metagenome. RNAcentral's name for it is "partial contains small subunit ribosomal RNA, internal transcribed spacer 1, and 5.8S ribosomal RNA". The stretch from base 1 to 46 matches the Rfam family "Eukaryotic small subunit ribosomal RNA", at positions 1786 to 1831 of the family's 1831-position model. The record is from RNAcentral.
AAGUCGUAACAAGGUUUCCGUAGGUGAACCUGCGGAAGGAUCAUUAAUGGGAUUACAGGGGGUUGAUGCUGGCAGCUUGGCUGCAAUGUGCUCACUCUUCUGAUUUAUUUCACACAUGUGCACUUGGUUUUCUCAAAGGUAGCGCCUUUGGAAAUUAAUUAUAAAACUCCCUUUGUACUUUGAAUGCUUGUCUGCCGCAAGGCAAAAUAUUAUAACAACUUUUAACAAUGGAUCUCUUGGCUCUU